CAAGGAGGAAAGAAGUGCUCUGGGCAAACUUGUACAGAAGAAGUCAUGCCUAUCGAUUGGUAAUAUUCUGCGUUCUGUAAAAUUAAGACGUUUGGCACUUCUCACUGAAUUGAAUGACAGCCUUUUAUUCAGCUGCCAGGGCAUUUACCCAAUGCAGAGGGAUGAGAGGAAAAAUCUACUUUGAAGAGCUAAGCCGUCAAUGAGGUGAAAGAAAGAAACAGACCAGGGCUGUGCAAAAAACCUCAGACUGGGAGAUGGGGCAAGUCCUGGGAGGGAAAAAAGGCUUUCACUAAAGUUCCAAAAACCAGCUCUUGUGCCACCUGGACUAUAUGUUUUGCUUAAAAAGAUGAACAAUCGAGGAGAGAGGAACUAAGAGGUGGAAGUGCAAGGGUCAGGAAGUCCAAGUGAAAGAAGCCCUUGAGAUAGGAAUAAAGAAAGAAAAAGAGUUGAAAAAAGAAACAGAGAAAUAGUAACUAGAGAUUCUCUUUCUUUGUGAAGACAGUAGCCUGCAGACUCUUCCCACUGUACCAGAUAAAGUGUGUUGAAUGCAGUGCAUUCUUGUUAUCAAAGGAGCCCAAGCAAAAACCUUAAGGGACAUCAGGUGCUGUACUCUGCUGACUGCUGGCCACAGGUGGGAUUUUGAGUUGUCAUU
Long non-coding RNA from Mauremys mutica (yellowpond turtle), 652 nucleotides. RefSeq lists it as uncharacterized. The transcript is spliced from 3 exons. Lineage: Eukaryota; Metazoa; Chordata; Testudines; Geoemydidae. The record is from RefSeq and is a predicted model, not a curated record.